CAGCCGCGCGGUAAUACGUAGGUGGCAAGCGUUGUCCGGAAUUAUUGGGCGUAAAGGGCUCGCAGGCGGUUUCUUAAGUCUGAUGUGAAAGCCCCCGGCUCAACUGGGGAGGGUCAUUGGAAACUGGGAAACUUGAGUGCAGAAGAGGAGAGUGGAAUUCCACGUGUAGCGGUGAAAUGCGUAGAGAUGUGGAGGAACACCAGUGGCGAAGGCGACUCUCUGGUCUGUAACUGACGCUGAGGAGCGAAAGCGUGGGGAGCGAACAGGAUUAGAUACCCCAGUAGUCCCUGUCUCUUAUACA
This 301-nucleotide ribosomal RNA is filed under the name uncultured bacterium. RNAcentral's name for it is "partial 16S ribosomal RNA". It matches the Rfam family "Bacterial small subunit ribosomal RNA", at positions 509 to 808 of the family's 1533-position model. The record is from RNAcentral.